CGGGUGAGUAACACGUAGGUAAUCUACCUUCGGGUGGGGAAUAACGCAGGGAAACUUGCGCUAAUACCGCAUAAUGCAGCGGCACCACAUGGUGACAGUUGUUAAAGCGGGGGAUUUUCGAACCUCGCGCCUGAAGAGGAGCCUGCGGCAGAUUAGCUAGUUGGUAAGGUAACGGCUUACCAAGGCGACGAUCUGUAGCCGGCCUGAGAGGGCGGUCGGCCACACUGACACUGACAUACGGGUCAGACUCCUACGGGAGGCAGCAGUCGGGAAUUUUGGGCAAUGGGCGAAAGCCUGACCCAGCAACGCCGCGUGAAGGAUGAAAUCCCUCGGGAUGUAAACUUCGCAAGAAUAGGAAGAAUGAACGAGUACUAAUACUGCUCGUGAUGACGGUACUAUUUGUAAGCUCCGGCUAACUCCGUGCCAGCAGCCGCGGUAAUACGGGGGGAGCAAGCGUUGUUCGGAUUUACUGGGCGUAAAGGGCGCGUAGGCGGCCAGCACAAGUCAGUUGUGAAAUCUCCGGGCUUAACUCGGAAAGGUCAACUGAUACUGUGCGGCUAGAGUGCGGAAGGGGCAACUGGAAUUCUCGGUGUAGCGGUGAAAUGCGUAGAUAUCGAGAGGAAC
This 624-nucleotide ribosomal RNA is filed under the name uncultured bacterium. RNAcentral's name for it is "bacterial SSU rRNA". It matches the Rfam family "Bacterial small subunit ribosomal RNA", at positions 103 to 707 of the family's 1533-position model. The record is from RNAcentral.